Molecule: transfer RNA, 61 nt
Filed under: Pseudomonadota bacterium
Lineage: Bacteria; Pseudomonadati; Pseudomonadota
Description: Proteobacteria bacterium (freshwater metagenome) tRNA-Met
Rfam family: tRNA
About the family: Transfer RNA (tRNA) molecules are approximately 80 nucleotides in length.
Source: RNAcentral
AUAGCUCAGUUGGUUAGAGCAGUCGGCUCAUAACCGAUAGGUCCCAGGUUCAAGUCCUGGU